UACGUAGGGGGCAAGCGUUGUCCGGAUUUAUUGGGCGUAAAGAGCGUGUAGGCGGCCAGAUAGGUCCGUUGUGAAAACUCGAGGCUCAACCUCGAGACGCCGAUGGAAACCAUCUGGCUAGAGUCCGGAAGAGGAGAGUGGAAUUCCUGGUGUAGCGGUGAAAUGCGCAGAUAUCGGGAGGAACACCUGUGGCGAAAGCGGCGCACUGGACCACAACUGACGCUGAGGCGCGAAAGCUAGGGGAGCAAACAGG
This 253-nucleotide ribosomal RNA is filed under the name uncultured bacterium. RNAcentral's name for it is "partial 16S ribosomal RNA". It matches the Rfam family "Bacterial small subunit ribosomal RNA", at positions 524 to 776 of the family's 1533-position model. The record is from RNAcentral.